This 207-nucleotide long non-coding RNA is filed under the name Elaeis guineensis (African oil palm). Its description in RNAcentral is "long non-coding RNA (EGUI_LNC010281)". Lineage: Eukaryota; Viridiplantae; Streptophyta; Magnoliopsida; Arecales; Arecaceae. The record is from RNAcentral.
AGAAUUAUAUAAAGGGCCUAAGUCUAUAAGGUAUAAGUAGGCAUUUAAAAUUAAGAAAGACUCUAACGGUAAUAUUAAAUACUUCAAUGCUAAAUUGGUAACAUUAGGGUACAUAGAAAGAGCCAUAAAUUACAAUAAAACUUUUUCUUUAGUCUCUUGUAAGGAUUUUUUAAGAAUAAAUAUAGCACUAAUAAUCCAUUUUGACCU